CUUGUGGUUGGCUCAGGCGACGACGGGUAGCCGGCCUGAGAGGGUGACCGGCCACACUGGGACUGAGACACGGCCCAGACUCCUACGGGAGGCAGCAGUGGGGAAUAUUGCACAAUGGGCGAAAGCCUGAUGCAGCGACGCCGCGUGAGGGAUGACGGCCUUCGGGUUGUAAACCUCUUUCAGCAGGGACGAAGCUUUAGUGACGGUACCUGCAGAAGAAGCACCGGCUAACUACGUGCCGCAGCCGCGGG
RNAcentral lists this ribosomal RNA (251 nucleotides) under uncultured bacterium. RNAcentral's name for it is "partial 16S ribosomal RNA". It matches the Rfam family "Bacterial small subunit ribosomal RNA", at positions 257 to 521 of the family's 1533-position model. The record is from RNAcentral.